Molecule: ribosomal RNA, 399 nt
Filed under: Tetraselmis cordiformis
Lineage: Eukaryota; Viridiplantae; Chlorophyta; Chlorodendrophyceae; Chlorodendrales; Chlorodendraceae
Description: partial small subunit ribosomal RNA
Rfam family: Eukaryotic small subunit ribosomal RNA
Source: RNAcentral
GCUUGUCUCAAAGAUUAAGCCAUGCAUGUCUCAGUAUAAACUUCUAUACGGUGAAACUGCGAAUGGCUCAUUAAAACAGUUAUAAUUUAUUUGAUGGUCGCUUACUACAUGGAUAACUGUGGUAAUUCUAGAGCUAAUACGUGCGUAAAUCCCGACUCCUGGAAGGGACGUAUUUAUUAGAUUUAAGGCCAACCGAGCUUGCUCGUCUCUUGGUGAAUCAUGAUAACUUCACGAAUCGCAUGGCCUCGCGCCGGCGAUAUUUCAUUCAAAUUUCUGCCCUAUCAAUUGGCGAUGGUAGGAUAGAGGCCUACCAUGGUGUUAACGGGUGACGGGGGAUUAGGGUUCGAUUCCGGAGAGGCAGCCUGAGAAACGGCUACCACAUCCAAGGAAGGCAGCAGG